AUGAAUGUCAGGAAAGGCCUUAAUCUAAUAUUUAUUCAUUCAUUUUUUUUAAUUGCCCAGUUGCCAAGCCUUGUUCUCUAUGGUGACAGAGAAGCAGGAAGAACUUCUGUUAAGCUGAAAUUGAUGUUCAAAGUAAAGCUAUUUCUCAGAAGAGUAGCGACUUGGGGCAAAGCAAUAAAACUAAGACAAAAGAACAAAGGGCUAUGAUUGCAGCAUCAGUAACUGGCUUGAGAAGAGAUUGUGCUGAAGCAGAUAAUACAGCUCAUUGAACUAUGUGAUCCGGGAAGUACACACACCUGGUAAAGCUCUUUCUGGGAUUACAGACCUGACAUUUUGGGCUCACUAGUUAAGAAGAGACUUUUGAAAAAAGCAAACAAAAGUUAAAACAACAAAGCAAAAUUAAUUUUCCCUUAAACUAUGAAACCACUUUACAAAUUCCGGUGUUUCGUCUCUGCUUAGAACACCUACAAAAGCAUUUUAUACAAAUAUCUUAAGCUCAUAAUAUCAAAAUUAGAAUAGCAAGUAUAGCACUAGGUGCUAUAUUCUAGUACUGAGUUUAUAACCAUUGUUGAUUGAUAAAUAAUAAUUCCCUUUAUACUGUUCAAAUAUAUCUAAUGAAAAUACCCAAAGUCUAGAAUAGUGUUUUUACUAAUGAUUAUGUUUGCAAUUCAACCUGACACUUGAUCAUCACAAAACACAUAACUAUAUUAUAUUUAAAAAUAUGAAACACUAAACAUUACAAUAGUGCUUAUAUUUUAUAAAUCUGAAAUUUUUUAAUUACCAACAAAGCUAAUAAUAAUGUACUAGCAAUCAUUUUUCCUGUGAUUUGUUAAAAGCAUAAUAAACAAUACAAGAACACAAGUAUAAUUUACCA
RNAcentral lists this long non-coding RNA (874 nucleotides) under Sus scrofa (pig). RNAcentral describes it as "lncRNA (ENSSSCG00035009984.1)". The record is from RNAcentral. Lineage: Eukaryota; Metazoa; Chordata; Mammalia; Artiodactyla; Suidae.